CCGAUUAUUUGAUGAUCGAGCGGUUCAACACAAAUCAAAAAAACUUUUUCAUUACACAAAAUAUAUCUACGCUCCUCCUUCCACAUUUCAACAUUCUCUUUUCCAAAAAAAUACCAUAGCCUUGCUCGUUUUCUCCUCUGUUCCAAGAUUAGAAGAUCUUCUAUACCUCAUCUCCUCCUUCUUCUGUUUCAAUUUUCAGAAAAUCCGCCUACCAUUACUGCAAAAUUUUCGCAACUUUCAGUUCAAAUCAAGAAAAGGUAAGACUUGUAAAAUCUUUUUCCAUAUUCCUUCCUAUUUUGCCUCAUAAAUGCCUUCAAUUUCAGUUCAAAUCUAGAUUUUCAAGUACAAAUUUGCCUAUAAAUAACGAGGGGAAUUCGAUCAAAGAUUCAAUUGAAGAACGGGACUCAAAAACAUAUUAGGAAACAAGCUAAAACAUAUACAAAAGGAAAAAUCACAUCAAAACUGAAGACAGAUCCAAAAAAAAUACACAUCAAAGAAUCCAUUUAUUUCAAAAAAAAUCACUAUCUUUUAUUUUUGAUUUUGAAUUCAAGUUUGAAAAGGAGUUCGAAGUGAAAUUCUUGACGAAAAUCCCUUAUUUUGCUGCUCCACACAAGGGUCUUGAGUCGGUUAUUGAUGAGUUGCUUCCUAAUGCUGAAACGAGAAUGUGUGCAAGACUCAUUUGGGCAAACUUACAAAAAAAUGGAGAGGUGAAGAUAAGAGGAAAACAUUUUGGAGGUGUGUCAAAGCUAGUUUUGAGAUGAGUUUGAAUAUUUGGGAAACUUAGUGAAAGAAUAUAUGAGCCAUUGCUUAUCUAUGACAAAGAAUAUUGGUGUAGGUCUUUGUUUAGUAAAAGAACCAAGUGUGAUGUGGUAAAAAAUAAUAUGUGUGAAAUAUUUAAUUCUUGAAUUGUUAAUCCUAGGCUUAUAUCUCUGAUCA
Molecule: long non-coding RNA, 936 nt
Organism: Solanum dulcamara
Lineage: Eukaryota; Viridiplantae; Streptophyta; Magnoliopsida; Solanales; Solanaceae
Exons: 2
Source: RefSeq, a predicted model, not a curated record